UGGGGAAUAUUGGACAAUGGGCGAAAGCCUGAUCCAGCCAUGCCGCGUGUGUGAAGAAGGCCUUUUGGUUGUAAAGCACUUUAAGUGGGGAGGAAAAGCUUGUGGUUAAUACCCAUAAGCCCUGACGUUACCCACAGAAUAAGCACCGGCUAACUCUGUGCCAGCAGCCGCGGUAAUACAGAGGGUGCAAGCGUUAAUCGGAAUUACUGGGCGUAAAGCGCGCGUAGGUGGUUAUUUAAGUCAGAUGUGAAAGCCCCGGGCUUAACCUGGGAACUGCAUCUGAUACUGGAUAACUAGAGUAGGUGAGAGGGGAGUAGAAUUCCAGGUGUAGCGGUGAAAUGCGUAGAGAUCUGGAGGAAUACCGAUGGCGAAGGCGGCUCCCUGGCAUCAUACUGACACUGAGGUGCGAAAGCGUGGGUAGCAAACAGGAUUAGAUACCCUGGUAGUCCACGCCGUAAACGAUGUCUACCAGUCGUUGGGUCUUUUAAAGACUUAGUGACGCAGUUAACGCAAUAAGUAGACCGCCUGGGGAGUACGGCCGCAAGGUUA
This 549-nucleotide ribosomal RNA is filed under the name uncultured bacterium. RNAcentral's name for it is "bacterial SSU rRNA". It matches the Rfam family "Bacterial small subunit ribosomal RNA", at positions 355 to 896 of the family's 1533-position model. The record is from RNAcentral.